GGGCUACUAGCUCAGGUGGUAGAGCAACGCCCUUUUAAGGCGUGGGUCACUGGUUCGAAUCCAGUGUAGCUCA
Molecule: transfer RNA, 73 nt
Filed under: Spirochaetaceae bacterium
Lineage: Bacteria; Pseudomonadati; Spirochaetota; Spirochaetia; Spirochaetales; Spirochaetaceae
Description: tRNA-Lys
Rfam family: tRNA
About the family: Transfer RNA (tRNA) molecules are approximately 80 nucleotides in length. Their secondary structure includes four short double-helical elements and three loops (D, anti-codon, and T loops).
Source: RNAcentral